UAUUUUCAGUUAUUUACACAAUUAUUUCGUUUUUCUUUCCGUUCACACAUAAAAGGCAUACACUGAAAUGCCUCCAAAUUUCUGAACAUUAUAAACAGUUUCGCUUUUAUCGCAAAAUUCUUUAUGUAUAUACACACAUACAUAUGUGUUUUUCUUCGGUUCAACAAAAAAGUAGUAGAAAACGUUUUCAGCGCGAAAGUAACCAAACUGUGCACUACACACACGCAUACAUGCACCGACAUACAGAAGAAGCACGCAAGAAUUUACCAAAGUACGCAUGCUGGUCAUAUAUUUGUCUCGCUUGUACUCAUGCCGCUACAUGGGCAAUUCCGCAUCAGUGUUGCAAUGCGUGUAAGUGAGAUGUCUUGACAAAUGGUUACUUUAAAUCGUUACUCGGUCACAAAUGGCAGCACCUAAUCGUGACAAGAUGCUACUACAUAAAAAGCAACUCUGCUCGCAAAUAAGCAAUAUGUUUGUUAUUGUUUCUACUGGGAUGUAUUAUAAUUAUGGCUACGGCAUCGCUUAAGUAUCAUUAGGAUAGGAUUUCUUCUUGUUCCUACACAUUCCAGGUGAACUUAUGGUUAAGAAUGUAAAUGGAUUAAAUAUUAAGGAACCUAACUCUACAAGUUAGUACUAAUAAACUUGGGGAAAGGUAUUUGUAAAACUUGUCAUUGAUAUGAAUAAAAUAAAGGAAAAA
Drosophila hydei is the source of this 697-nucleotide long non-coding RNA. RefSeq lists it as uncharacterized. The transcript has 3 exons. Lineage: Eukaryota; Metazoa; Arthropoda; Insecta; Diptera; Drosophilidae. The record is from RefSeq and is a predicted model, not a curated record.